This 253-nucleotide ribosomal RNA is filed under the name uncultured bacterium. Its description in RNAcentral is "partial 16S ribosomal RNA". It matches the Rfam family "Bacterial small subunit ribosomal RNA", at positions 524 to 776 of the family's 1533-position model. The record is from RNAcentral.
UACAGAGGGGGCAAGCGUUAUUCGGAAUUAUUGGGCGUAAAGGGCGCGCAGGCGGCUUUGUUUGUCAGGCGUGAAAGCCCCGGGCUUAACCUGGGAACUGCGUUUGAUACGGCAGGGCUAGAGUUCGGGAGAGGAGAGUGGAAUUCCCAGUGUAGAGGUGAAAUUCGUAGAUAUUGGGAAGAACACCGGUGGCGAAGGCAGCACUCUGGGACGUGACUGACGCUGAGACGCGAAAGCGUGGGGAGCAAACAGG